GUUAGGAAUAUUGGGCAAUGGAGGAAACUCUGACCCAGCAACGCCGCGUGAAGGAUGAAGGUUUUCGGAUUGUAAACUUCUGUUCUAUGGGAAAAAACAAAUGAUGGUACCAUAGGAGAAAGCCACGGCUAACUACGUGCCAGCAGCCGCGGUAAUACGUAGGUGGCAAGCGUUGUUCGGAAUGACUGGGCGUAAAGGGAGCGUAGGUUGUUUUUUAAGUUAAAUGUGAAAGCCCGGGGCUUAACUCCGGAAUGCCAUUUAAUACUGGAAGACUAGAGUGCAGGAGGGGUGAGCGGAAUUCCUAGUGUAGCGGUGGAAUGCGUAGAUAUUAGGAAGAACACCAGAGGCGAAGGCGGCUCACUGGACUGUUACUGACACUGAGGCUCGAAAGCGUGGGGAGCAAACAGGAUUAGAUACCCCUGUAGUCC
RNAcentral lists this ribosomal RNA (428 nucleotides) under uncultured bacterium. Its description in RNAcentral is "partial 16S ribosomal RNA". It matches the Rfam family "Bacterial small subunit ribosomal RNA", at positions 354 to 796 of the family's 1533-position model. The record is from RNAcentral.